Molecule: long non-coding RNA, 441 nt
Filed under: Pan troglodytes (chimpanzee)
Lineage: Eukaryota; Metazoa; Chordata; Mammalia; Primates; Hominidae
Description: long non-coding RNA NONPTRT004785
Source: RNAcentral
CAGAAACCGCACCCCACUUCCCAUAGCCAUGUUCUUCCCCAGACCUUACCCUGCCCAAGAGGUUGUCCUGAAGUAAUGUCUGCUGCAGCACUGGGGCCACCUCCUCCAAGCUCAACAUGUGGCAAAGUUCAUUUUUAACGUGCUGGAUUUUCCGAUGAAAGCCUGAAACCUGCACAUCUGAAGAUGCCUUCGCCAUGAUGCAAUGGAUGCCAAACACGACAUACACCCUUGGGACGGUGACCUCAGCCAUCUGCAACAAGGCUCUCAGAACCAGUCCUUUGAUUAUAAAAAAAGCAGCAGCUUUCACUAACCAAGCAUCUUUAAUCCAAGCCAAAUUACAGAAAACUCUCUAACUUAGAGGUGAUCGUCCGUACGGCAGAUCAUGACAACAUGAAAAACGUAAGCUAAGAUGUUGAACACAGCCAGAACUGAAAAUAAAAG